GUGAUGAGAGGCUGUCUUGUUAGCCAAAGGAGACUGCCUGUUUGCCAUUCAAGAAUAUGCUUAUUUCAUGAAUGUGCAGUUUAUUAUGGCACUGGAGUUUAUAAACACACUCCUGCGAGGCCAUAGGCAAAUCAUCCUUGGCUACAAAACAGAAACUCCAAUCU
Molecule: non-coding RNA, 164 nt
Organism: Corchorus olitorius
Lineage: Eukaryota; Viridiplantae; Streptophyta; Magnoliopsida; Malvales; Malvaceae
Source: Rfam